GCCCGCCUAGCUCAAUCGGCAGAGCGUGAGACUCUUAAUCUCAAGGUUGUGGGUUCGACCCCCACGGUGGGUU
Thoreauomyces humboldtii is the source of this 73-nucleotide non-coding RNA. NCBI's taxonomy places the organism in Eukaryota, Fungi, Chytridiomycota, Chytridiomycetes, Spizellomycetales, Powellomycetaceae. The record is from the annotation of a GenBank genome assembly.